This 359-nucleotide transfer RNA is filed under the name uncultured Microcystis sp. Its description in RNAcentral is "partial 16S-23S ribosomal RNA intergenic spacer". The stretch from base 135 to 208 matches the Rfam family "tRNA". Lineage: Bacteria; Bacillati; Cyanobacteriota; Cyanophyceae; Chroococcales; Microcystaceae. The record is from RNAcentral.
AAGGGAGACCUAAUUCAGGUAGGAGACGAAAAAAAAGUAGUCCCUACCAGGAAUCAAUCCCAAAAGGUCGGAGCGAGGCGAAAUUGGCUUUCAAACUAGGUUCUGGGUUCAAACAAGACCUGAAUCAGGAACAAGGGCUAUUAGCUCGGGUGGUUAGAGCGCACCCCUGAUAAGGGUGAGGUCCCUGGUUCGAGUCCAGGAUGGCCCACCUGCACAGGUGGCAAAAACAAGAGAAGCGAGGAAUCAGCACCUUAUCUUACUGACAUAGUAAGAGAGAAUGCUGGCUCUGAGUAAAGAGUCCAGAGGAACCUUGAAAACUGCAUAGAGCUAGGUGAAAAAGCCAAAAAAGAAGACCGCAA